RNAcentral lists this long non-coding RNA (228 nucleotides) under Apteryx rowi (Okarito brown kiwi). Its description in RNAcentral is "lncRNA (ENSARWG00000008595.1)". Lineage: Eukaryota; Metazoa; Chordata; Aves; Apterygiformes; Apterygidae. The record is from RNAcentral.
CGCGGCGCGGGCCGCGGCCGGGGCGGAGGGCGGCCUCGGCGGGGCAGCUCCCCCCCUUCCCCCCCUCCCCACACACAACCGCCCCCGGUAACGGCCGCCGCGCGCCGGGGCCCAGGGCCAGGUCCCCCUUCCAAAAUGCCUUUGCUUGAAAAGCAAGAAAAUGGUGAGCAGGUGUUGAUGAAAAAUGAAAGCUAUUUGCAAAUCUUGUCCAAGAAAUUAAUGCUUUGA